UAAAAAAUACGUCUCAGUUCAGAUUGCAGGCUGCAACUCGCCUGCAUGAAGUCGGAAUUGCUAGUAAUCGCAGAUCAGCAUGCUGCGGUGAAUACGUUCCCGGGCCUUGUACACACCGCCCGUCACACCAUGGGAGUCGGUAACACCCGAAGUCGGUAGCCUAACCGUAAGGAGGGCGCCGCCGAAGGUGGGUUCGAUAAUUGGGGUGAAGUCGUAACAAGGUAAC
This 226-nucleotide ribosomal RNA is filed under the name uncultured bacterium. RNAcentral's name for it is "partial 16S ribosomal RNA". It matches the Rfam family "Bacterial small subunit ribosomal RNA", at positions 1275 to 1500 of the family's 1533-position model. The record is from RNAcentral.